AUUGAACGCUGGCGGCAUGCUUUACACAUGCAAGUCGAACGGCAGCACGAAAGAGCUUGCUCUUUUGGUGGCGAGUGGCGAACGGGUGAGUAAUGCAUCGGAACGUACCGAGUAAUGGGGGAUAACUAUCCGAAAGGAUAGCUAAUACCGCAUACGCUUUGAGAAGGAAAGUGGGGGCUCUUCGGACCUCACGUUAUUCGAGCGGCCGAUGUCUGAUUAGCUAGUUGGUGGGGUAAAGGCCUACCAAGGCGACGAUCAGUAGCGGGUCUGAGAGGAUGAUCCGCCACACUGGGACUGAGACACGGCCCAGACUCCUACGGGAGGCAGCAGUGGGGAAUUUUGGACAAUGGGCGCAAGCCUGAUCCAGCCAUGCCGCGUGUCUGAAGAAGGCCUUCGGGUUGUAAAGGACUU
Molecule: ribosomal RNA, 411 nt
Filed under: Kingella oralis
Lineage: Bacteria; Pseudomonadati; Pseudomonadota; Betaproteobacteria; Neisseriales; Neisseriaceae
Description: bacterial SSU rRNA
Rfam family: Bacterial small subunit ribosomal RNA
Source: RNAcentral